Molecule: ribosomal RNA, 518 nt
Filed under: uncultured bacterium
Lineage: Bacteria
Description: bacterial SSU rRNA
Rfam family: Bacterial small subunit ribosomal RNA
Source: RNAcentral
GACGAACGCUGGCGGCGUGCCUAAUACAUGCAAGUCGAACGAGAAAUUCUUACACCGGAUGCUUGCAUCCACCGUAAGAUUUCGAGUGGCGGACGGGUGAGUAACACGUGGGUAACCUGCCCAUCAGAGGGGGAUAACACUUGGAAACAGGUGCUAAUACCGCAUAAUUCCUUUUACCGCAUGGUAAAAGGCUGAAAGGCGCUUCUGGUGUCACUGAUGGAUGGACCCGCGGUGCAUUAGCUAGUCGGUGGGGUAACGGCCUACCGAGGCGAUGAUGCAUAGCCGACCUGAGAGGGUGAUCGGCCACAUUGGGACUGAGACACGGCCCAAACUCCUACGGGAGGCAGCAGUAGGGAAUCUUCGGCAAUGGACGAAAGUCUGACCGAGCAACGCCGCGUGAGUGAAGAAGGUUUUCGGAUCGUAAAACUCUGUUGUUAGAGAAGAACAGGAGAAGUAGUAACUGGCUUCUUUUUGACGGUAUCUAACCAGAAAGCCACGGCUAACUACGUGCCAGCCGC